CCUACGGGAGGCAGCAGUGGGGAAUUUUGGACAAUGGGCGAAAGCCUGAUCCAGCCAUGCCGCGUGCAGGAAGAAGGCCUUCGGGUUGUAAACUGCUUUAGUCUAGGAAAAAGGGAUGCCCGGUUAAUACCUGGGUGUUUUGAUGGUACUGGAAGAAUAAGCACCGGCUAACUACGUGCCAGCAGCCGCGGUAAUACGUAGGGUGCGAGCGUUAAUCGGAAUUACUGGGCGUAAAGCGUGCGCAGGCGGUCUUGUAAGACAGUCGUGAAAUCCCCGGGCUUAACCUGGGAACUGCGAUUGUGACUGCAAGGCUAGAGUGUGUCAGAGGGGGGUGGAAUUCCACGUGUAGCAGUGAAAUGCGUAGAGAUGUGGAGGAACACCGAUGGCGAAGGCAGCCCCCUGGGAUAACACUGACGCUCAUGCACGAAAGCGUGGGGAGCAAACAGGAUUAGAUACCCUGGUAGUCCACGCCCUAAACGAUGUCGACUGGUUGUUGGGUGGGUAACCACUUAGUAACGAAGCUAACGCGUGAAGUCGACCGCCUGGGGGAGGUACGGUCGCGAGAGUAAACGUACUAAUUAGAAGUAACGUUACGUUGAGAGNGCGACGGACGACGACGAGGGAGGAGG
RNAcentral lists this ribosomal RNA (629 nucleotides) under uncultured bacterium. Its description in RNAcentral is "bacterial SSU rRNA". The stretch from base 1 to 543 matches the Rfam family "Bacterial small subunit ribosomal RNA", at positions 338 to 873 of the family's 1533-position model. The record is from RNAcentral.